AUUAGACUACCCCCGUAGUCCUAGCCGUAAACGAUACUCGCUAGGUGUCGGCCACGGUGCGACCGUUGUCGGUGCCGUAGGGAAGCCGUGAAGCGAGCCACCUGGGAGUACGGCCGCAAGGCUGAAACUUAAAGGAAUUGGCGGGGGAGCACAACAACGGGUGGAGCUUGCGGUUUAAUUGGAUUCAACGCCGGAAAUCUUACCGGGACCGACAGCAACAUGAAGGCCAAGCUGAAGACUUUGCCGGAUUAGCUG
Molecule: ribosomal RNA, 255 nt
Filed under: uncultured archaeon
Lineage: Archaea
Description: partial 16S ribosomal RNA
Rfam family: Archaeal small subunit ribosomal RNA
Source: RNAcentral